UGGGGAAUUUUGGACAAUGGGCGAAAGCCUGAUCCAGCAAUGCCGCGUGUGUGAAGAAGGCCUUCGGGUUGUAAAGCACUUUUGUCCGGAAAGAAAUCCUUGGCUCUAAUACAGUCGGGGGAUGACGGUACCGGAAGAAUAAGCACCGGCUAACUACGUGCCAGCAGCCGCGGUAAUACGUAGGGUGCAAGCGUUAAUCGGAAUUACUGGGCGUAAAGCGUGCGCAGGCGGUUUGCUAAGACCGAUGUGAAAUCCCCGGGCUCAACCUGGGAACUGCAUUGGUGACUGGCAGGCUAGAGUAUGGCAGGAGGGGGGUAGAAUUCCACGUGUGAGCAGUGAAAUGCGUAGAGAUGUGGAGGAAUACCGAUGGCGAAGGCAGCCCCUGGGCCAAUACUGACGCUCAUGCACGAAAGCGUGGGGAGC
This 423-nucleotide ribosomal RNA is filed under the name uncultured bacterium. Its description in RNAcentral is "partial 16S ribosomal RNA". It matches the Rfam family "Bacterial small subunit ribosomal RNA", at positions 355 to 769 of the family's 1533-position model. The record is from RNAcentral.